GCCUACGGGGGGCAGCAGUAGGGAAUUUUCGUCAAUGGGCGCAAGCCUGAACGAGCAAUGCCGCGUGAACGAGGAAGGUCUUCGGAUCGUAAAGUUCUGUUGAAGGGGAAAAAGAGCGGAGAGAGGAAAUGGUCUCCGAUUGAUAUUACCCUUCGAGGACGUCACGGCUAACUACGUGCCAGCAGCCGCGGUAAUACGUAGGUGGCGAGCGUUAUCCGGAAUGAUUGGGCGUAACGGGAGCGUAGGCGGCCUGCUAAGUCUGGUGUGAAAGUUACCGGCUCAACCGGAACAGGC
This 294-nucleotide ribosomal RNA is filed under the name uncultured bacterium. RNAcentral describes it as "partial 16S ribosomal RNA". It matches the Rfam family "Bacterial small subunit ribosomal RNA", at positions 337 to 624 of the family's 1533-position model. The record is from RNAcentral.